UACGUAGGUCCCAAGCGUUGUCCGGAUUUAUUGGGCGUAAAGCGAGCGCAGGUGGUUUAUUAAGUCUGGUGUAAAAGGCAGUGGCUCAACCAUUGUAUGCAUUGGAAACUGGUAGACUUGAGUGCAGGAGAGGAGAGUGGAAUUCCAUGUGUAGCGGUGAAAUGCGUAGAUAUAUGGAGGAACACCGGUGGCGAAAGCGGCUCUCUGGCCUGUAACUGACACUGAGGCUCGAAAGCGUGGAGAGCAAACAGG
This 252-nucleotide ribosomal RNA is filed under the name uncultured bacterium. RNAcentral's name for it is "partial 16S ribosomal RNA". It matches the Rfam family "Bacterial small subunit ribosomal RNA", at positions 524 to 776 of the family's 1533-position model. The record is from RNAcentral.